AUUGAACGCUGGCGGCAUGCUUUACACAUGCAAGUCGAACGGCAGCGCGGGCUUCGGCCUGGCGGCGGGUGGCGAACGGGUGAGUAAUACAUCGGAACGUGCCCAGUAGUGGGGGAUAGCUCGGCGAAAGCCGGAUUAAUACCGCAUACGACCUGAGGGUGAAAGCGGGGGAUCUUCGGACCUCGCGCUAUUGGAGCGGCCGAUGGCAGAUUAGCUAGUUGGUGGGGUAAAGGCCUACCAAGGCGACGAUCUGUAGCUGGUCUGAGAGGACGACCAGCCACACUGGGACUGAGACACGGCCCAGACUCCUACGGGGGGCAGCAGUGGGGAAUUUUGGACAAUGGGCGAAAGCCUGAUCCAGCAAUGCCGCGUGUGUGAUGAAGGCCUUCGGGUUGUAAAGCACUUUUGGCGGGAACGAAAAGGACUGUGCCAAUACCACGGUUCGAUGACGGUACCCGCAGAAUAAGCACCGGCUAACUACGUG
This 484-nucleotide ribosomal RNA is filed under the name uncultured bacterium. RNAcentral's name for it is "partial 16S ribosomal RNA". It matches the Rfam family "Bacterial small subunit ribosomal RNA", at positions 29 to 507 of the family's 1533-position model. The record is from RNAcentral.